UACGGGGGGGGCAAGCGUUGUUCGGAUUUACUGGGCGUAAAGGGCGCGUAGGCGGCGUAACAAGGCACUUGUGAAAUCUCCGGGCUUAACCCGGAGCGGCCAAGUGAUACUGUUGUGCUAGAGUGCGGAAGGGGCUACUGGAAUUCUCGGUGUAGCGGUGAAAUGCGUAGAUAUCGAGAGGAACACCUGCGGCGAAGGCGGGUAGCUGGGCCGACACUGACGCUGAGGCGCGAAAGCCAGGGGAGCGAACGGG
Molecule: ribosomal RNA, 253 nt
Filed under: uncultured bacterium
Lineage: Bacteria
Description: partial 16S ribosomal RNA
Rfam family: Bacterial small subunit ribosomal RNA
Source: RNAcentral